GUCACCAGAGCCUCUGCCCCUUGCUCCCAUUUCCCAGGGGCCCACACUCACGCCUCUGUGGGGGUCUCCGCAGAGGGGCCUCUCUUUGGCCCACCCAGACCGGAUCGCGCAGCCGUGAAGCAAGAACCCCAUCAGGGGGCUGCAGUGCCAAGUGGCCAAACUGCUGCUCGCAGGACUCUUGGGCCUGCCACCAGCUCAGUCGCUGUCCAGAGAACUUGCACACCCCACCUGCAGUCUUCACCACCUCGCCGGCGGCCACGGGGGCUAAAAACGAUAAGAGAGACGAGCUCUUUUCGUCAUCUGCGCAAUGGCAGGAAUGAGACGGAAACCAGUGAAGCGUUCCUCGCAGGGCCUGGACUUAUCUUGGAUAACAUUUGCAGUGACCUUAUGAGACAGCACGAAAAUCCAACACGCCCCUCACCGGAGGACUGGGAGGCUCCCGCGUUUUGGAUUCUGAAAAGCACUCCCUCGUUCACGUCUGCCUGGAUUCGCGCCCUCAAGCCCCCUGGCGCCCACUUUUCUUGCUCUCCAAACACUCGUUGAGGCCCGAGAGGGAGAUGCGAAGUUUGCCCACCACUGCGCGUCCCUCCUCCGCGAGGCGCCAAUGGGCCUGAGUCAGGGGCCUCCCCUUCAUCCGCUGGUCCCUCCCCUGUUCCCAGCUCCAGUUCCUCACCCGCUAUGGCUGGCCUGGCGCCUGUGGCCGUUCACCGUCUGCGAGGCAUCUGCGGGGACUGAAGUCGGGGAGGCAGCGGCGGGCUCUGGCAGAUACCAGGAGAUCCCGCCCCUCGGCCCGGGAGACCCCGCCCCUCGGCCACGCCCCUUUCCGCUCCCCACCCCGCCCUCUUGGGCCCCCCACCCGGCCCAGCCAGACAGAGACCUGCCUCCAGGUGGGUGGGAGGAGACCUUCAGUCCCUCGCCCCGGGCCUGUUGUCACUACCUCCCCCAAACACAUUGGUUAAAGUCACCCGAUUAGAAGGGGCCACCUGUGAGACUUGGAUCCAAAGCAAACUAGCGGAAGCUGAAGGGUCUUGGGGCUUCCCAGGCCUCUCGGAGGCCGGGAUGGUCGUGGAGGAGGGAGCGCUCAGUGCCUGGCCUACUGCCUGCCCUGAGCCGGCUCCCUACAGGACGCUUCUCCUGUACCUUCCACCUGCUGCGAGGAAGGGCUGGGGGCAGGCGUACCCAUUUUCCAGAGGAGAACUGAAGGCUCUCACCCCGGGUUAGGCCAGUGGCCGGAGGCAGAGCCGGGCCUUGAACCUGGCUUUCUGGAUCUUCAUCCAGGCCAUUCUAAAGGGGAUCACAGUUUCCAGGAGUCACUCCUGAAGAUGGUCAAGUACCAUGGAGGGGCAGGGCAUCCAUGGACCCUGAUUUGAGGCCCCGGAGCAGUUGGGACUGGUUUGGGCCACGGCUGGCCUAAUCUCCCCUCCACAGAGCCUGGGCAUUGUCCAGUUGGCAGCCAAGAGCCAUCUAUCCACUUUACAGCGGGCAGCUUUGACAGGCUGCUUGUUUCCAAGGACAAAGCCUGCAGGCUGUGGGUAGGCGAUAGCCACUGCGGACCUCGGGCUCAUUGCCUGGGUACAGGGGGUGGGGAGCCUGAGGUCUGCCAGGACCCAAGGGAGCCUCGAGGGUGGCCUGAGGACAUUGGGUCCUCACUCCUGGCCCCUCAGCCAACCCCCUCAUAGCCCAGGGCCAGGAAUUUUGGAAGGAAGAACCAGCCACUGGGAUGUUUUCACUUUUGGGUCACCCUGAUCCCCCCAGAAUCGAGGCUUGGCCAUCAGCCAGCUUUUAUGUGACCCAGGCAGCUCUCUCCACUCUGUUUCUUCUUCUACAGAAUGUUGAGAAUCACCUCUUUCUCUCAGGGACAUAAAGCAUGGCUGUGAGAGAGAUUUGUGAGUGUUGGGGUCACUGUAAUUACUCUCUGAGGGUGCCUGUCUUGAGCUCUGUAGACAAAGUGGGAUCCCUUCCCCUCUCUCAUACCCCUACAAACUUUGGGCCUCGAGUAUCCAGGAUGGGCCCAGAACCAGCACUGGCACAGCCUCCUCUCUGGCCUGAUCCAAGCCCUCUCCCACACAGCAGUCAGGCUGAUCUUCCUAAAAUUUCCGUCUAUUGAGCUUACAUUAAAAUAAUAAUAAUAAUAAUAAUAAUAAUAAUAAUAAUAAUAAUAACAACAUUUCUGUCUGAUUUUGUCUCUCCUCUGCUCAAAAUCCCUCUGUGGAUCCCUAGUGCCUCCAGGAGAAAGUCCACCCUUCCUCUCACGGCUCACCCAAUCUACCCCAGCCGUGGCUCCUCCCUCACUGUGCCUCUUCCCCUUACCUUCUAGCCAGAGUGAAAUCCCCAGGCCUCUGCGUGCACCAUUCCCUCUGCUUAGGAAUAGGCAGACCUGCCCCCAGGUCUUUUCUGGUUCAUUUCCACUUAUCCUUCAGGUUUCUAGGAUGCUUUCCCUGACCUCCACUUAAAUUGGCUCAGGAGUUCCCUGAUCUCCACAAAUGUCAGGAACUUGUCCACCCGCCUGCCCCCAGCACCCAGGUUACACCUGACAAAGUAAGCGCUUUGGAAUGCUCCAACAGACCUAGUCAUACCAUACCCGGACAGAUGCCUUGCGUGUGUGUUUGAGGGUGGUGGUGCUGGGGACAGUGGGAAGGGACUCUGCCUCAUGGACCCCCAAGGCCAGACACCUGCACUGCUGCUUGUGGCCACUGGAGGGCGAAACAACUAUUUAGUGCCUACCUGCGGCAGGCCCCUCCUCAGCCUGGGAGAAAAGAGAUGCCCCUCCCGCCCACCCCCACCUGUCCCCACCUGUCCCCACUUGUCACUGGGGCAGCUCCGGAAGUAAAACGUGGACGCAGCUGGUGCAGUGGCCUUGAGCUGGCAGUCAGAACCUCUGCCUACCCCCAUCCCCCAUUCCAGGCCCUUCUCUGCCAACAACCAGCAUAGGGACCUGAAUAAGUCACAUCUCUGCUCUUGGUUUCAGAUGAUCUGUGACAUGCCUGGCCUGGAGCCUGGCACACAGCAGGUGCUCAGUAAAUACAUAUUUGGCCGGGCGCGAUGACUCACGUCUGUAACCCCAUCACUUUGGGAGGCCGAGGUGGAUGGAUCACCUGAGGUCACGUGUUUGAGACCAUCCUGGCCAACAUGGCGGAACCCUGUCUCUACUAAAAAUACAAAAAUUAGCUGGUUGUGGUGGCGCGUGCCUGUAAUCCCAGCUGCUGGGGAGGCUGAGGCAGGAGAACCUGGGAGGCGGAGGUUGCAGUGAGCCAAGAUCAUGCCAUCACACUCCAGCCUGGGUGACAGAACAAGGCUCAGUCUCAAAAUGAAUACAUACAUACAUACCUAUUUGUAUUAGGAGGAGAAAACCAAGAACCAGAGAAGAGAAGAGAAGGGAAGGGACCUGUGGCCACAUAGCAAGGCCAUGGCACAGCCGAAGUCUCCUCUGCUUUCCUCAUGCAGCCCCGUCCAACCCAUCUCUUUCAUCUCUUUUCUUAAAACUUAAAAAUAUUUUCAGGGGGGUGUGGUGGCUCAUGCCUAUAAUCCCAGCAAUUUGGGAGGAUGAGAUGGGAGGAUUGCUUGAGCCCGGGAGUUUGAGGCUGCAGUGAGCCACUGUAGUCCAGCCGGGGUGACACAGCCAGACUCCAUCUUUUUCUCUGUAUAUUUUUUCACCUCUACCUGAUGUGACUGAGUAACUGCUGGGGUACAUCACCUCUUUCAGGUGAUGGAAAUGUUCUAAAGUUGAUUAUGCUGAUGGUUGGUUGCCCAGCUGUGAAUGCAGUAAAAACAUUGAGCCGUACACUUUAAAUGGACAAGUUAUGUGUGAAUUAUAUCUCAAUAAAGCUCUGUGCCCCACCCAAAUCUCCUGUCAAACUGUGAUUCAUAGCGUUGGAAGUGGGGCCGGGUGGAAGGUGACUAGAUCAUGGGGGCGGAUCCUUCAUAAAUGAU
Molecule: long non-coding RNA, 3930 nt
Filed under: Homo sapiens (human)
Lineage: Eukaryota; Metazoa; Chordata; Mammalia; Primates; Hominidae
Description: HSALNT0155230
Source: RNAcentral